CAAAAUCUCGCGCAUCAUUCUCGGCCCCUACGUCUUCAUCUCCCCCCAACAACAACAACAACGGCAACCGCCGCCGCAGAGAGAGAGACUCCCGCUCAAGAACUCCUCCUGUCUCUCUCCCUCCCCCCGCGCCAUCCCAUCAUCCACGUAUUUUCCCAGAAGCCCUUGGUCGUGUGCUCUACCUUGUGUCUGCUGAGUGUGCUCCGCUGUCUUGUGAUUGAGUACGGCCGUUGGUCGUCCUUUGUGUUCUGCAGCUCUUUUUUGCCUUCUCUAACCCGAAGCCCGUCCCCCUGCUCGAGGGUGUGAGUGUCGUGUGCUCCCUGGAUUUGGUUGGUGUUGGACCUGCCAGCGUGUGUGUGUGUGUGUGUGUGUGCGUGGUGGAGGGCGCGGGGCGGGGCCUCUUUCCGCUUGUAGUCUGGCGGGUCGUGGAGGUGGUUCCUCGACGUCAGUCUCAUCGCUACUGCGGUCGUGCUGCCAUCUCACGGCACACAGACAGACCCGCGCCUCGUGUUCUUCUCUUUGGCCACGCGUGCAACGCGUACAUUGGGGGGCCCACGCCCACGUGUCACGCGUCUGCACGCCAGCCAGCGAAGAGGGAGGAGCGCUACACGCACCGCAUACACGCAUCCGCAGAAGCCCAACACGAAAAAAAAAACGCCAAGCCACCACCAGCCACCACCCACCGCCCGCGCUCCCCCCUCCUCUCCUCUCCGCCCUGCACCUUCAUCGUUCUCUGUCAGCUUCGCCUUUUCUCUUGCGCAGUUGCCGCCAGGACACACACGCACGCAGCCGCUGCCGCCGUCACUCCAUCUCCUCCUCCAACCUCCCGCUCUCUCCUUGUGUGUGUGUGAUUGUCUCGCGUCUGUGUUUGUCAG
Molecule: unclassified non-coding RNA, 875 nt
Filed under: Leishmania donovani
Lineage: Eukaryota; Euglenozoa; Kinetoplastea; Trypanosomatida; Trypanosomatidae
Description: gene:unknown
Source: RNAcentral